This 208-nucleotide ribosomal RNA is filed under the name Pseudomonas aeruginosa. Its description in RNAcentral is "partial 23S ribosomal RNA". It matches the Rfam family "Bacterial large subunit ribosomal RNA", at positions 1 to 209 of the family's 2925-position model. RNAcentral also lists the same sequence under 1 other name. The record is from RNAcentral. Lineage: Bacteria; Pseudomonadati; Pseudomonadota; Gammaproteobacteria; Pseudomonadales; Pseudomonadaceae.
GGUUAAGCGACUAAGCGUACACGGUGGAUGCCCUGGCAGUCAGAGGCGAUGAAGGACGUGCUAAUCUGCGAAAAGCGUCGGUAAGGUGAUAUGAACCGUUAUAACCGGCGAUGUCCGAAUGGGGAAACCCAGUGCAAUUCGUUGCACUAUCGUUAACUGAAUACAUAGGUUAACGAGGCGAACCGGGGGAACUGAAACAUCUAAGUAC